GCCUAUGAUCUACCGUGUCGAUUCCAACUCAGAGAAUCUUUACAUCUGGAGAUCUACAGCAGGGCUAUCCCUAGUGACAUGCGUGAAGGAGCUUGGAAAUGGUGCUGGGUAGGAGCUGAGUGUGCAGAAUGUGGAAAGGCAUUCUAAACCUAAGGAAGAACAUGAGUAAAGAUGAUGAAGCAGGGAUAAGGCUAAAAUGAAAUAUGUGAUCUGAUCCACAUACAAACACAGCGUAGUACAGCUGGAAUAUAGAGAAGAGCUUGAGGACCCAUGAGCAACUAUCCCAGUACUCUUGGAGGCUCUGCCACCACAGUUUGAGAAACUCCGCAUUCAAAGUUAAAAACUGUCACCUGAAUAGUUAAUAACAUCAAAGAUUGUGAAAGCAAGUAUAAAUAACACAGAGAUUAAAAUAAUGAGGCAGGAUCAGAAACAAACAAGAAGGAAGAUCUCCCAUAGAUUUUCAAGGUGCUGAGAAAACAGCUUCUAGACAUAUCUCAAAAGCCAAGUUUCUGAGACGUAAUCAGAAAGUUGUGGCGGAAGGAAAUUUGAACCAGAAGACUGCAGUCCUGUCUAUGAACAUUAAACCUGUGUGGCUUAAGAAAUGAGUCUAACCUCUCUGAGCCUCAGUUUGUUCACCUAAAAGAUGGAGAUGAGAGCGCAUUUGUCUCAUUCUCAGGGGUUAUGGUGGCCAUCCAGACAUAAAGAAAUUAGAACGUUCAUUCACCUGCAGAUGCUCACACAUUCCUAC
RNAcentral lists this long non-coding RNA (748 nucleotides) under Pongo abelii (Sumatran orangutan). RNAcentral's name for it is "lincRNA". Lineage: Eukaryota; Metazoa; Chordata; Mammalia; Primates; Hominidae. The record is from RNAcentral.